GGUGGGGGACAACCGUGGGAAACUACGGCUAAUACCGCAUGAUGCCUGAGGGCCAAAGACGAAAGUCGUUUGAGGAGGAGCCUGCGUCUGAUUAGGUAGUUGGUGGGGUAAAGGCCUACCCAAGCCUACGAUCAGUAGCUGGUCUGAGAGGAUGAUCAGCCACAUUGGGACUGAGACACGGCCCAAACUCCUACGGGAGGCAGCAGUGGGGAAUAUUGGACAAUGGGCGCAAGCCUGAUCCAGCAAUGCCGCGUGGGUGAAGAAGGUCUUCGGAUUGUAAAGCCCUUUUGGCGGGGACGAUGAUGACGGUACCCGCAGAAUAAGCUCCGGCUAACUUCGUG
Molecule: ribosomal RNA, 341 nt
Filed under: uncultured bacterium
Lineage: Bacteria
Description: bacterial SSU rRNA
Rfam family: Bacterial small subunit ribosomal RNA
Source: RNAcentral